CGAGAAAGCCCGCAAGGGUGAGUACAGCGGCGCACGGGUGCGUAACACGUGGGUAAUCUACCCUGAAGUCCGGAAUAACUCCCCGAAAGGGGUGCUAAUGCCGGAUGAGACCACGGGGGCUUCGGCUCCCGCGGGAAAAGGUGGCCUCUGUAUACAAGCUAUCACUUCAGGAUGAGCCCGCGGCCCAUCAGCUCGUUGGCGGGGUAAUGGCCCACCAAGGCUACGACGGGUAGCUGGUCUGAGAGGACGAUCAGCCACACUGGAACUGAGACACGGUCCAGACUCCUACGGGAGGCAGCAGUGGGGAAUCUUGCGCAAUGGGCGAAAGCCUGACGCAGCAACGCCGCGUGUGUGAUGAAGGUCUUCGGAUCGUAAAGCACUGUCGCGAGGGACG
This 394-nucleotide ribosomal RNA is filed under the name uncultured Anaeromyxobacter sp. RNAcentral's name for it is "bacterial SSU rRNA". It matches the Rfam family "Bacterial small subunit ribosomal RNA", at positions 67 to 447 of the family's 1533-position model. The record is from RNAcentral. Lineage: Bacteria; Pseudomonadati; Myxococcota; Myxococcia; Myxococcales; Anaeromyxobacteraceae.